RNAcentral lists this ribosomal RNA (1784 nucleotides) under Pollicipes pollicipes. RNAcentral describes it as "bacterial LSU rRNA". It matches the Rfam family "Bacterial large subunit ribosomal RNA", at positions 1 to 1982 of the family's 2925-position model. The record is from RNAcentral. Lineage: Eukaryota; Metazoa; Arthropoda; Thecostraca; Pollicipedomorpha; Pollicipedidae.
UCGAACCAGCAAGGGCACAUGGCGAAUGACUUGGCAUCGGGAGGCGAUGAAGGACGUUGGAACCUGCGAAAAGCCUGAGGGAGCUGGUAACCGAGCUGUGAUCUCAGGAUGUCCGAAUGGGGAAACCCGGCCCUUUUGGGUCAUCGUACGCUGAAUGCAUAGGCGUACGAAGCGAACGUGGGGAACUGAAACAUCUCAGUACCCACAGGAAAGGAAAGCAACCGCGACUCCGUAAGUAGUGGCGAACGAAAGCGGAUAAAUCAGUGGAACGACGAACACGUUGGAAUGCGUGACCAAAGAAGGUGACAGUCCUGUAGCGGAAAGCUGAUGAGCUCUAGAGUAGGUCCGGGCCCGUGAAACCCGGAUUGAACAUGGGGGGUCCACCCUCCAAGGCUAAGUACUACCCGAUGACCGAUAGUGAAUCAGUAAGGUGACUGAACGUUGAAAAGCACCGCGAUGAGCGGGGUGAAAGAGUACCUGAAACCAUGUGCCUACAAGCGGUCGGAGCUCUGCGGAGUGACGGCGUGCUUUUUGCAUAAUGAGCCCGCGAGUUAGCCUCAGCGGCGAGCCUAAGACCUACCGGGUCGGAGGCGAAGGGAAACCGAGUCUGAUAAGGGCGCGGAGUCGUUGGGGCUAGACACGAAACCCGUGCGAUCUACCCAUGGCCAGGGUGAAGGUGGGGUAAAACCCGCUGGAGGCCCGAACCCGUUAUCGUUGAAAAGAUAUGGGAUGAGCUGUGGGGAGGGGUUAAAGUCCAAUCAAGCCGGGAGAUAGCUUGUUCUCGCCGAAAUAACUUUAGGGUUAGCCUCAGGCAGCAACAUGCGGGGGUAGAGCUACUGGAUGCGUGGUGGGCCCUCAUCGGGUACCCCAUGCAACCAAACUCCGAAUACCGCAUGCCAAGGCCUGGGAGAUAGACCGCGAGUGAAAAUAUCCGCGGUCAAAAGGAGAAAAAUCCAGAUCGCCAGCUAAGGCCCCUAAAUCGUGUUUAGUUCGAAAGGAAGUCAGAUUGCUUUGACACCCAGGAUGUUGGCUUAGAAGCAGCCAUCAUUUAAAGAGUGCGUAAUAGCUCACUGGGCGAGGAGUCUGGCGCCGAUAAUAAUCGGGAAUAAACAUGAUGCCGAAGCUGCGGACAUCUUUGAUGUGGUAGGCGAGCGUUCCAUUUGCUUAGAAGCGGUUCCGAAAGGGAUCGUGGAGCGUAUGGAAGUGAAUAUGCGGGCUUGAGUAACGAUAAACAAGGUGAGAAUCCUUGUCGCCGUAAACCCAAGGUUUCCUGGGGAAGGUAAAUCCGCCCAGGGUUAGCCGGGACCUAAGGCGAGGCCGAAAGGCGUAGUCGAUGGACAGCAGGUUAAUAUUCCUGCGCUCUCUGGUGAACGGACCGUGAAUACCUUCUGCCUUACUAGAUUGGUAGGCCUUCGGGCCGUUGAAGGCUGAAGCGGUUCCCAGAAAAAAACCAGUAUAGACCCGUACCGAUAACUGACACAGGUGGGUGGGAUGAAUAAUCCAAGGCGCUCGAGAGAACGGUCGUGAAGGAACUAGGCAAAUUUACUCCGUACGUUCGCAAGAAGGAGGCCCUUCGGGGCGCAGAGAAAAGGUCCUAGCAACUGUUUAUCAAAAACACAGCACUGUGCGAACUGGCAACAGGACGUAUACAGUGUGACGCUUGCCCAAUGCCGAAAGGUCACGGAAGCAGGUUAGCUUCGGCGAAGCUUGCAACCUAAGCCUCGGUCAAUGGCGGCCGUAACUAUGACGGUCCUAAGGUAGCGAAGUUCCUUGUCGGGUAAGUU